Molecule: long non-coding RNA, 1976 nt
Filed under: Homo sapiens (human)
Lineage: Eukaryota; Metazoa; Chordata; Mammalia; Primates; Hominidae
Description: HSALNT0170052
Source: RNAcentral
UGUGCAGAAGAUCCUACAUGAAGUCCAGGGCCUCUGGAAGUUUCCAGCUUGCUGUUUGUAGCGAAACAGUCCUAGGUUAAUGGUUGCAUGAAUUUUUCAGUCACUGUUCAAAUAUCUAAGAAGCCACAUAUACAAUGAUAUAUAAUACUAUUACUUUCCAGACCGAAAAAAAAAUACAGGUUCUAUUUCUUUUAAGUAGGGGGGAUCUUUAUAAAGAGACUUUUUUUUUUCUUGAGCAGCAGAAGUCACAUGGAUGUCCCACAAUGAGACAUCUGUACAAGGUGUUCUAGGUUUGUCACUGCUCAGCACGUACAGAUGUGUCCUGUCUAUGGAGCCACAGCCGGGGUGGUGGUUGAGGAGGCCUCAUGGUGGGGCAAACCCAGGACCCAGAGUAGCCCCGGGAUGUUCACUCCUGAAAUUAUUAUUACUUCUUUAAGAAAGUCUCCACUGAUUCAACACUUUCAUGAUGGCUUUUCCUGGCUGCGUGCAUGGUGGGGACUUAAAGAUUGCUGUGUCAGGGAGCACAACCACCUUCUCUCUCUCACCAGAGCCACUCUAGCUGCUCCCAAAGAAGGCAUCUUCCACAUGGUAGAAAGUUUUGCAUAAUGCUUAGUGAAACUCCCCGAGAAAAAUGGUAUUUCCAAAUUUUUCAGAAACAAAAGUGAGAGUCCUGAAAAGGAAAUUCUUUUCUGGAUUAGGCUUGGAAACCAGAUCCAAUGCAUCCUUUAUGUACAACACAGCUUUUAUGGCCAUGAGUUCACAUGGCUUCCCAGGGGCCAAUGAAAACAAAUGGAGGCCUCCAAUAAAAGCUGUGUCGAAUGGUGUUAAUAUUAAAUACACUUAGGUGCAUACCGAUAAUGAAAUACUAAGUAAGGAAAACAGUUCUUAAGUAUAUAUCCUUUCUAUGAACAACAGCUGUGUAAUUUCUUUAAAAAAAUACUCAAUGCAACGCUUUGCUGAUUUUCCAAGGGUAGUAUAAAGUGCAAGAUCUUGCUCCCCACAAGGGGAGGUAGAAACGUCGGUGACGUGUUGGAAUUCCUAUCAUAGCUACUAGCUGGCAAAGCCUCCGAAUGCCUGCCUGGUGUGCACACGGGAGAUGUGAUCAAAAUGAGUGCUGUGUCUCGACGAAUCCAGAGAGCAGCUGAAGCAUGUUGGGCCAGCGUGGGGAAGAAGAAGAAAGCAGGUGUUGCUCUGGCUUUGCUUCUUGAGGGUCUUGACAUCUAAGUUUUAAGGCGAGUUUUGUCUUCAAUAAAAUAUAAUUAAUCAUUGUAAAGUUCAUCACAUGUAGGCAUCAGGUGAGAAGGUUUCUCCGAAGCAAGUUUCUCUUAUCAUCUGUUUCUAAUGAAAACUGUGGAACCAUCUGUGGGGGAAGGAGGAGGAGAAGCUUGAGUGAGUGCUUGGAAAAGUCUGAGAACUGAGCUCCUGGGGUAGCACUGCGGUGGUUUGUAGAAAGACCUGAAAUGUGAUGAAAAUGAGUGUGCCCAGCAAUCCUGUGAAGGGCAACAGAUGAAUGCCAUCGUCAUAUUCUACCCCAGCCUGAAAAUUUUAAAAUUGCUUUUCUGAUGAUAUCUACAUUGGUGAUGCAGACUGCAUGAGAACUUAAUCCAGCAGGGAACUUGCCAGAGUCUGGCUGUUGGUUGCGGACACCAGGAGUUCCCCAGAAGAGAUAAGGAGGUGGGCGAGUGGUCUUAGAAUUCCAUGGAAGAAACAUUUCCCGGGCUGGCAGCAGAGAUGCCCUCCCCAUAGCCCCCAUGUCGUGUCAUUAUUUCUCUGCAGUCAUUGGCCUGUGAGCAGCUGCUGGCUUCAACGCUUUUGGGGUGGGUCUCAGAGCCGCAGGGCGAGCCCUGUGUGAGUAGGGCUUGUGGGAGCACUUUGCUCCCAGGCAGUGCUAGGAGGUGACCUUGUGUCUGCUGAGUUCCUGCAAAGUAUUUCUGAGAGGCUUGAUGAUGAGCCAAACGUUGGAGCAUUCAAAUAUU